RNAcentral lists this unclassified non-coding RNA (451 nucleotides) under Hevea brasiliensis (rubber tree). The record is from RNAcentral. Lineage: Eukaryota; Viridiplantae; Streptophyta; Magnoliopsida; Malpighiales; Euphorbiaceae.
GUCCUAAUAAGGUUAACAUUAAAUAGACCCACUGAUCAGGCAGUACUGAACCUAUCAUCAAAGAAACUGUCCUUGUGGUGAUCCCCACUUCCACCACGUGUGACUGAGAGGUAUAUAAACUUUGGUAGGGAAAUUUGAGGACAUCUUCCAUCACUCUUCCAGAUGAAAGAGUUGGCUCCAUUCGUGAGAGUUAGUGUGAACUGUGAUUGAAUGUGACGUGAAACGACAAGUACUUUGAAUAGAAAUAUGGUAGUCUCAAUCAAUCAAGAGUUUCUUAUCCUCGAAGCCAGGGAAAGGGAGGCCUUUUCCUUGAAGAGCUUCUGUUGCUUUAGCAUGCUUUUGAUUCCUUUCAAGGAAACCUUAUCCUGAGGAGAUGAGAACAUUGAAUGCUUUUGGAGUACACAGAGCAAUCCCACUUGCAUUUCAAAGCAUGUGGGUCCUUGCAUUUGUG